CCUCCGCUCUCGGCACGUGUCCCCAGUCCCAUCUGGGCCCCGCCACAUGCCUCCUUCCCCGUCCCGGACCCAGCCGGGUCGAGCGCGCCGCUGUCUCCGCCAGGCUGCGGAGGGCCACUGAGCUCCUGCCCCAGCCCCUAGGGUGUCAAAGACCAAAGCCCGACUUUGCCCUGGGGGCUAUGGGGUACGAGUCGGAGGCGUCGACUGCCCCCCUGCUUGGCACACCCUCUUCCACUCUACACCUUCCUCUCCGACAAGCAUUUUCGGGCGUCCGCGUCCUCCGGCCCCUUCAACUUCGCGGAAAGGAAGACUGAGAGGCCAAAGGGAGGCGAACGCUUCUCAGUCGUGAUGGGGAGACUGCGACUUUUCCAAACUAAAGCUUCCAUCUGUAGGGGCAACGGAGCCUGCGGCACCCUCCCCAGGGACACAUCUGAGGUGCUUUACCAAAUGCAUCAUCUGCACUGUAUAUGCAAAAUCCACAUAUGUCCACUUGCCAGGAGCUUCCAUCAAGGCGACAUACAGGAUGGCAAAUUGCUUAUGGUCCAUACUCUGGAAGAUGAAUUGACCAGUGUCACAUGUGGUAGGAGCAAACACGUAAAGUCGGCCAGGCUCUCUGGUCACUGGAAAAGAACAGUGCUGUGUGCUUCAUGGGCUCAGAUGAGAUUGUUUGAUCUAAUGUGCUGAUCCAGAUCACACUGGACAAUGUCACAUUAUCCCGGUGACACGGACAUUAGCUGCUGUUGGCACUUUGUCCCAUGCAAAUGGCCACUUAAGGUGGGAACCCUGCCUGGCUUAAGGCCUGCCAUCUUGACGCUUCUCAGGGAGAUCAUCCAUGGCCUCCUUGUUGCUAACACAGAAGGACAGUUCUCUGACUUCAUUGCACCUGAUGAUGGCAGCGAGAUUCAAAACCACAUCAACAGAUGCGUCAUGUGAUGAAGACCCAGGCCCACAGACACCUAGGGCAGGGGUGCCAUGAAUGGAAAAAGAGGACAGCACAAGGAGGUGCUCUGCUGCAGUGUGUGUGUGGGGGGGGGCAGUGAGGGUCACAGAGGAUAAACUGCCGAGAUGUGCAAACCUCACCCCAGCUCUGGGGCAUUUGUGAAUUAAAUACUGCCUGAGAAU
This is a long non-coding RNA of Nyctereutes procyonoides (raccoon dog), 1122 nucleotides long. RefSeq lists it as uncharacterized. The record is from RefSeq and is a predicted model, not a curated record. The transcript has 3 exons. Lineage: Eukaryota; Metazoa; Chordata; Mammalia; Carnivora; Canidae.